Sus scrofa (pig) is the source of this 5083-nucleotide non-coding RNA. The record is from RefSeq and is a predicted model, not a curated record. NCBI's taxonomy places the organism in Eukaryota, Metazoa, Chordata, Mammalia, Artiodactyla, Suidae.
CGCAACCUCAUGGUUCCUAGUCGGAUUCGUUAACCACUGCGCCACGAUGGGAACUCCCAGGUGUUGUAUUUUUAUAUUCCUUUUCUAAUAUUUCAUUGUCAGUAUACAGAAAGGCAGCUUAUUUCUGCAUGUUAACCUUGUGUCCUGCUACUUUGCUGAAUUCCUUGAUCAGUUCGAGUCGUUUUCGUGUGGAGUCCUUAGGGUUUUCUAUGUAUAGUGUCAUGUCAUCUGCACGGAGAGACACUUUCACCUCUUCUCUUCCAAUGUGGAUACCUUUUAUUUCUUUUGUUUGUCUGACUGCUGUGGUUAUGACUUUCAAUAUUAUGUUAAAUAAAAGUGGUGUGAGUGGGCAUCCUUGUCUUGUCUUGUUUGAGAUUUUAGCAGGAAGUCUUUCGGCUUUUCUCUGAGUUUUUUUUUUUUUUUUUUUUUGGUCUUUUUGCUAUUUCUUGGGCCACUCCCACGGCAUAUGGAGGUUCCCAGGCUAGGGGGUCUAAUCGGAGCCGUAGCCGCCAGCCUAUGCCAGAGCCACAGCAGCGCAGGGUCCAAGGCGAGUCUGCACCACAGCUCACGGCAACGCCGGAUCCUUAACCCACUGAGCGAGGCCAGGGAUCAAACCACAGCCUCAUGUUCCUAGUCGGGUUCGUUUCUGCUGCGCCAUAGUGGAAACUCCAUAAACGACUCGUUAUGUGAAGGUAUGUUCCCUCUAUACCCGCUUUGGCCAGAGUUUCUAUCAUGAAUUGAUGAUGGAUUUUGUCAAAGGCUUUUUCUCCAUCUAUUGAGAUGACCAUUGGUUUUUUAGUAGCAGGUCGUUUAGUCUCCAUGUAGUCAGUUUUUUCUCAUUUCUUUUCUUGUGGUUGAUUUCUAGUUUCAUGCCACUGUGCUCAGAGAAGAUACUUGAAAUGAUUUCUGUAGUCUUAGAUUUGUUGAGGUGAGUUUUGUGCCCAGUAUGGGGUCAGUGAGAAUAUUCCACGUGCACUUGGAAAGAAUGUAGAUUCUGAUUUUUGGGAAUGUCAGGCCCUGAAAAUGUCAGUUAGGUCUGACUUUUCUGUUGUGUCGUUUAGAAUCUGUUGCCUUACUGAUUUUCUUUCUAGAAGGUCUGUCCGAAGAUGUGAGCGGGGUGUUAAAGUCUCCUACUGUGAUUGUGCUCCCGUGGAUUCCUCCUUUUACGGCUGUUAGUAUUUGCCGUAUGUAUCUGGGCGCUCCUAUGUCAGGGGCGUGUAUAACGACGAUUGUAAUGGAUCCUUUUAUCAUUAAUAGUGUCCCUCUUUGUCCUUCUUUGCGGCCUUGGUUUUAAAGUCUGUACAUCUGAUUCGAGUAUUGCAACCCCUGCUUUCCCGUCUUCCAUAUUCACAUGAACUAUCUUUUUCCGUCCCCUCACUUUGAAUUUAUGUGUCCUUGCCCUAAGCAGAGUCUCUUGGAGACAGCAGAUUGCAGGCUCUUGUUUCUUUAUCCAGUCUGCCACUCUGCGUCUUUUGACUGGAGCAUUCAGUCCAUUGACAUUUAAGAUCUGCCCCCUGGGCCCCUCUGCUCCAAGAUGCCUCAGUUCGGGCCGAGGACACAGGUGUCCCUUCAGCACAGGAUGCGGGCCUGCGGCCUGGUUGGGUGGCAGUGUGUUUCGAAUGCUUGAGGGGUCCCCUGGGUUUUGAGAUGCCUGUUGUUUGUCCAGAGGCAGGAGCCGAGCCCCACACAGGCUCUGAGUCUAUGGCGCCAGGGUACGGAGGCCUGAAGGAAGCUGGGGCUAGUGAAAGUUCUCACGGAGUUCCCUGGUGGCUGCCAGGCUUAAGAGUCUCUCCCGGUGUCACUGCGGUGGCUGUGGGAAGAGCCGCACUGGGAGAUCCAACCCUGGCCAGAGAGCAUGCCAAUGUGGCAGGUGGCGCCCAAAUAAAUGUAUGAAUAAAAAGAGAUAUGGAAAGAAUGAGCUCCAUGGAGAACUUAAUCAUUUAUUAUUUCCGAUUCUCGCGGAUUCCUGGGGCAAAAUUUCACUGUAGCGACAAAGCGAUGCCAUCGUGCAUGGAUACACAGGCACCUGUCCUUGCAGCAUCCUCCUUUGGCUUGAAAAAGGGGCGAGAUACAGGUCCCUGUGCUAAACAGCGGAAUCUAUGUGCUUCCCCUCUCCACAGGCAAUCGUUUGGAUGGAUGAGCCUCCAAACCCCAGGCCUCCCCACAGCCUCCCCCUGCAGUCUGGCACCCCCAGAUCUGUUUUCAGGUCCAUGGGUUUCUUUCCUGUAGAACGCUUCAUGGGUGUCAUUUGUCAGAGUCCAGAGGGAAGGGGUUUCCCAUGGUGUUUAUCUCUCCCUUUUGCACAUGUAUCUUUUAGGAUGAGAGUUUUCUUACUGUCUAUGUUGCUGUCAAUGACAGCUUGUUCGCCAUUUUUACAAGUCAGGUAAUCGGGUCUGUCUGACGUGGCUCGGCUAAGAAAUCUCACAGGAUCCGCAGAUUCCUUUUGACUGUCUCUGUUCCCAAAAGGCAAUCGCUUUGACCCUGACACCUUCUCAGGUGAGUGCUGAGCUGCUCAUUCUGUCAUUUUUUUGUUUUUGUUUUUGAUCAUGACUGUUUUUCGACUGUCGCUGAUACAUGGGGCCCCAGUUGAACUGAACACCACAGUGACCCCAUCACACUUGUCUGUCCGUAUUGUUUUGCUCACAUCAUCUUCCCUUUGCUUCCAAAUACACUGUCUGCAUGUCGUUCCCUGUGCUCAGCAGCUGGGUGUCUUUGACCACCCACGCCGAGGGCGAGUGUUUGGAUCUGUUUUCUUCCACAGACAGGUCCUUCCCACACCCUCCCCUCCAAUCUGGCCACCAAAUGUCUCUUUUGCAGGGCAUGAGUUUCUUUCCUGGAGGAAGGUUCUUUGGUGUCAUUCUAAGAUUCUGGAAGGAAGGGCUUUCCCACGCUCUUUGUGUCUCUCUCGGAGACAUAUUUUGUUUCGUGUGAGAGUUCUUCUUGCCAAAGUUACUUUUUUUUUUUUGCACAUUUUCCUGGCUGAGUACACGUCCUCUGUGUAUACGGAGAACCUCUUCCUAAUCCCAUCAUCUGUCCAUGGACAUCAGCUGUGUCUCCAUGGCUUGCUCUGGUGAAGAGUGCUGCCUGAACAACGCGGGGCGUUUAACUUUUAGAAAAGGACAUUUCCUGAAUAUAUGUGCAAGCGUGGGUGUCCUGGGCCCUACGGUCAUUCUCGGUUUCUCUUUCGGAUGCCCUGAUCCUGUGGUUCAUAAUGGUUGUCCACAUGGACCUACACACCCACACUCUGGAGGGCACCUUCUUGUCCACACCCAGUCCAGGGCUGCUCAUUCGAAGGCUCAUUCCUGAAAGUGAGGGAAGGAGACCCCACCCACAUAUGGGCCCAAGACAGUGCAGUCCCAGGGACUGCUGAGCCAGUGAGAGGAAGAAAACCCGAGAGUGGCUGUUCAAGCAGAUGUUCACACGAUGGCCACUGGGAGAGGGCUGAGGAGGGCCCUCGGCCUUGUUGUGAUUUGAAAUUCUCUAUGAAUGAGUGAUGCUGGUCCUUUUUCAGGGGCUUGAAGUCCUUUGUUUUCCUGGUUUGGGGAAAGGUCUCAUCAGGCCUCUUCCCCAUUUUUCAUUGGGUUCUGGUUUUCUGUGGCUGGUCUUGGUUUCUGUAAUUGAGCUGCUAAUUUCAGAAGCCCAGCCUGAGCUGAGUUUGGGGAUGCACAUAAAGUGGCUGCGUGUUGUGCCUGGGAGGCAGAAAAUCGAUGGUAUUUUGGAGAGCAGCUGUGCCAGUUGCUGGGCAUUUUCUCUCAAGCGGUCUCGGGGAACUGCAUUCAUUUCUUUCCAUGGCACCCUCUUCUCUUCCUUCUUUGAACUUGGAGUGAAGGCGUGACCUGAAGCCUAGUCAGACGUUUUCGGGCAACACCAUUGACUGAUCGAAAGAAAGCUCUCCCUGAAAUCCCUUCUGGCCCCCUGGGGAAAGUCUGGUUCUGUUGCCGUGGUGGUUUUGGUAAACACUGUGUCUUGAACAGCAAUCGGUGGGGAGACAAUGCAGGCACACUCCAGGUGGGGUCAAUACACUUAAAAAGAAAGAGGGGUAGAGAGAACCAGAAAAAUAUCUAUAUCAACCCCCCUCCCCCAAAAAACCCAAAUAAGAGUCGAGAAGAGACUUAAGUGUACGAAGGAGGAAUCACAAAGGGGCAAAUAAGAAAAAUAUUAAUCGUUCCAUCCCUACACCCUUCUCUUCAUCAAUACGUAAGUGCAGGGCUCUAUCAAAACAGACGAAGGCUGGCAUCCCAUAAUGGCCCACGGGAUGAGAGUAUACACAGCGAGCUAAGGUGUACGUUUGCCUCAGGGCUCUGAAAGCCUUUGAGAGAAAAGGAGCCCACCUGGAAGGGCCCUUCUUGGUCUUUCCUGAAAGUGAGGGAAGGAGACCCCACCCACAUAUGGGCCCAAGACAGUGCAGUCCCAGGGACUGCUGAGCCAGUGAGAGGAAGAAAACCCGAGAGUGGCUGUUCAAGCAGAUGUUCACACGAGGGCACCGGAGCUGUGGGGCUCUAACAGGUGAGAGCGCCAAGGCUCGAGACGCGCAGGCUCAGCGCUAGUUGGCGGUGAUGGUGUCUUGAGCGGAGCCCACAGCAGGCACCCAGAGGAUUUGCGGGUGUUCUCUGGGCACCAGGGACUCUCUCCUCCAAGAUGCCUCCUGUUAGGCAGAGGGCACAGGUGUCCUUUCAGGAUUUGGAGGUGGAUUGGCAGCCCGGUUGGGUGGCAGUGGUUUUCGAAUGCUUGAGGCAUUCCCUGGGUUUGGAGCGUGCCUGCCGUUUGCCGUAGUGGUUGUCCACAGGGACCUACACACCCACACUGUAGGAGGGCACCUUCUUGUCCACACCCAGUCCAGGGUUUGUCUUUGGACGGCGUCCUAAGGAUGGCCACUGGGAGAGGGCAGAGGAGGGCCCUCGACCUCAUGGGUUGAAAUUCUCUAUGAAUGAGCGAUGCCGGUCCUUUUUCCGGUGCUAGAUACCCUCCAGCUUUCUGGUUUGGGGAAAGGUCUCAUGAGGUCUCUUCCCCUUUUUUUCUUUUUCUUUUUUUGUCUUUUUGCUAUUUCUUUGGGCCACUCCCGUGGCAUAUGGAGGUUUCCAGG